Long non-coding RNA from Clupea harengus (Atlantic herring), 472 nucleotides. RefSeq lists it as uncharacterized. Lineage: Eukaryota; Metazoa; Chordata; Actinopteri; Clupeiformes; Clupeidae. The transcript is spliced from 4 exons. The record is from RefSeq and is a predicted model, not a curated record.
AAAUACGACGACUUGCAUUCGAGCAGUCUCUUUUCCUCGUACGAGAAACUUGGAUAGACUUCCUCUGAUCCUGCGUGGGAAGGAAUAGUAACAGAUUUCUAAUACGGGUUUUUAGCUGUAUUCAUCGUGCUAUUUUUGUUGAGGAUAUUGUCACAACCGUAGAGUACAAUGAGGUAAUUAGGUUUUAGAGAAGGAGCCGCUCGGUAAUUCUUGUUUAAGCGAAAGCCUGCAGCGUGCGUAGAAUACUUUAUUUUUUUAUAAGUCUGCUAGAGAGGCCCUUAUCGUUAUAAUCAUCGUAACCGCAAACCUAAGAAAAAAAAAAUCGAAUACCGAGGUAGGUCACGACUGAAAACCGGCUACAUCAGGUAGGGCAAGACUGCAUAACUGAAACGGCUACAUCAGGCAAACCUCGUGGAAGCCUGUGGGUGCUGGUGUUUAUGGAAUAGAACAGCGGUUUGAAAUUUAAGUAGGA